This 8839-nucleotide long non-coding RNA is filed under the name Gossypium barbadense (sea-island cotton). RNAcentral describes it as "long non-coding RNA (GBAR_LNC003442)". The record is from RNAcentral. Lineage: Eukaryota; Viridiplantae; Streptophyta; Magnoliopsida; Malvales; Malvaceae.
UUUGGAUCGUUUGACUACGACUGAGGAGUCUUUCAACAAAGGAGCCCGUUAGUUCAUAGAAUGAGAAGCUAUGCUACUGCAAGGGUUUCAUUUCAGUUGAUACAAAUUACCUAUAAAUUUUUUCUUUUCCCUUUUUUACACUUUAUUACUGCUACCAUAGUGUGAUUGGGAGGACGAAACUAACAAAGAAAAGCUGACAGUGAGGAAUAAAAACAAUAACAAUGGUGAAGUUCCUGAAGCCAAAUAAGGUGGUGGUUGUCCUUCAAGGUUGUUAUGUCAGUCGUAAGGCGGUGAUUGUCAAAUCCUUUGAUGAAGGAACCCUUGACUGCUCUUACAGUCACUGUUUAGAUGCAAUGAUUAAGAAAUACCUAUUUCAAAAAAGCAAAUGAAAAUUUCAAGAGUGAUAAAGAACCCAAAGUGAAAAGGAAAAUAAUGGUAAUGAUUAGAUGAUUAGAAAGUAAAGGAAAAUUUUAUGCGUUUUUGAAGGAAAAAAAGAGAAAAAAAAAACGAAACACACAAAAGAGAGGUAGAAGACGAAGAGGUCAGAUAGAAAUUGUGAAAGGAAAAAAUGAAAAAAAAAAGAGGAAAAAGAAAGAAAGAAAGAAAAAGAAGUUGCAGUGGUCAAAGAGGAAGAAGAAGACGAUGAAGGAAAGAAAAUUUCAAAGGAAAAAAAAUGAUUUUUAAAAAUAUAAAUGAAAUGGAAAAUAAUUAAAGGUGCUAGCUUUUCAGGCCAAAGGGAGUGACACGUGGCAAGGUGCAAGUGGCCAGCGAUACCACGUCAGUAAAAAAUUAACGCUGUUAGUCUCAGGUACCAAUAUAGUGGAGGAAAAAAAGUUUGAGUACCAAUCUAGGAUAAAAAAAACCAUAAGUACCAAUCUGGGAUAAGUGGACAAGUUCGAAUACCAAUUUUAUAUUUAACCUUUAAUUUAACGUUAAAGUAAUUAAGUUUAAUCAUAGUUGAACUCUCUAAACUCUCCUUAUUAAAUAGAGCAUUUGGUCAUUAUCUACAAACACUUGAAUUCAAAAGAAAGUUUUAAAGAAAAAAUUUCUGAAGAAAUUAUUUUAAAAAAUUUCUAGAGAUAUUUUUAUUAUUUAUAACUUGGCCGAAAAGUUUAGAGAAAUUAUAAAAUUACCUCACUGGUAAUUUUUGUGAAAAAGUUUCUAAUUCGAUAUGAGCCUACACUCUGCAAACGUAAGCUUGAGGAUAGCGAAGAAGACUACUUGGUCGAAGCGUUCAUCCUAGAUGAAUAAAAAAGGUACAAUUUUGGAAGACAAUUCUAAUACAGAGUUUGUCACUCUAGCACGUCUCUAGUCUGCUACUCUAGCAAGUUUUGUUUUGAUUAAGUUCUCGUUAGGGAUUAUUUUCAUUUAGAUUGGAAUCGGUGGAAAUAGAAAAUGAAUUGGCAUAUCUAGCAUUAGAUGAUGAGGAAAAGGAGAUUUUAUAGGUACUCAAAAAGGUUGAUCCUGUAAAGGAAAUUUAUGAUCUUUUCCUGGUUGGGUGCUUUCUCACUGAAAGCGUGAUCCAUUUUCUGGUAAUGAGGAGCACAAUGGUUAAUCUUUGGCAUCCUAUGAAAGGGGUUUAGAUUUCACAUCUGGGGAGAAAAAGUUUCUGUUUCAACUUUUUCAUAAUUUGGAUCUUGACUGAGUGCAAAAUGGAGCUCCAUGGACCUUUCAUAAUCAUCUUUUGGCGAGUCAUUAAUUGGAUGAUGAAAAGUAUCCACUUAAAGUACCGUUAGUACAUAUGUGUUUUUGGGUACAAGUUCAUGAUUUGCCGUCAGGGUUUUUCUUUGAGUAUAUAGCUAAACAGUUGGGAGAUUUUCUUGGGAAUCUUUUGGAAUAUGAUACUAAAAGUUUAGAAAGGGGUUUGAAUGAUCAUAUGCAGAUCCGAGUUCGGAUGGGUGUUAGAUGUCUGUUGAAAAGGAAAAAUAGGCUUAUGUUUCCUCUAGCUAAAUGUUUGUACGUCAACUUUAAAUAUGAAAAACUGACUUUGUUCUACUUCUUCUAUGGUUGUUUGGGGCACAUUGACUUUUCUGUCAGAUCAGAAUAGCCAAAGGAAUAGAAAUAGUGAAGAUGGGGUGGGACCAAUUAAUUACAGAUCAAUCAAGAAAAGCUAUUACAAUGAACAAUAUAUGGUUAAGGGGAGAAGGAUGAGGAGGGAUAAAGGAAGAUGGAUUCGAUCAUAAUAGAUCAGGGGCGAAAUCUCAGGAGGAGGGUAUAAAUUUAGACAGACGUAUUGAUUUCGUCUUGGGGUUAAAUCUGAAGAGAGAUCCGAAAUACAUGAAGGUAUAUGUGAGGAUCCCUCCAAAGUACAGGGUCUAAUGGAAAUGGAAUACGAUUCGAAGGAUUGUCCAAUGAUGGAAAGAAAAUACUGAGAAAGAAGAAAGAUAUCACAGAGGAUUGAUUGUGGCCAAUUCAAUGGGAGGACGAGAUAGAGGAUUCUUGGUUCGAGACCAAUUGUUAUCGACAACUGUUAAGAGGUAAGCCAAUCGGUUGUAAUGAAAAUAAUGUGUUGGAAUGUCUGUAGUUUUGGGAGUUCACGGACUAAUAGAAGACUUAGCAUACGCUGAAGGUGUAUAAUCCCCAAUUGGGCUUCCUGAUGGAGAUUAAGUUAGAUGAUAGAAGAAUGGAAAAUGUGAGGAAAAGAUGUGGUUUUUUAAAUGAGAUAGAUGUUUGGGUUGAUGGCUCAUGAGAGAGUCUUUGUUUGGCUUGGAAGGUGACUAUUAUAAUUAAUUUAAGGAGUUUUUCCAAAAAUCAUAUCAAUGUCACUAUCCAAGAGACUACAAAAGAGAGGGAAUGAAAGUUUACUGGUUUCUAUAGGGCCCUAUUUGCAAGUCAUAUGAGUGACUCAUGAAAUGUGUUCAUGAAUUUAGGACGUACUAAAUAGUUACCUUGGUUACUGUGUGGUGAUUUCAAUGAGAUUUUGCAUUCUUUUGAGAAGGCUGGGGAUAUUCCAAGGGAGGAAAGGAGCAUGAAGGUUUUUAUAGGAGUUCUAGAAAGGUAGUUAAUAGAUGUGGGAUACUCUGGGUCGUGGUUCAUGGGAAAUGGGAAAUUUGUUGGAGAUUAAUAUAAAGAAAGAGGCUGGAUAGAGGAAUGGCAAAUGAUGAAUGGAUGAAUAUGUUUUUGAAUGCUUUAAUUCAAAACUUGCCACAUUCUUAUUCGGACUAUUGUCUGUUCCUUAUACAUUCGGAGAAGGAAGAAAAUGGGUCAAGGAGGAAAAGGUUUCGAUUCGAAGCAUGGUGGACAAUGGAAGAUUCUUUUGAGGGGGAGGUAAUGUGAAUCUGAUAUUCCAAGUUAAGGGGUAUUUUUUAAAAGUUUGAGAGUUUAUAGAAAGGUCUGGGAAGUUGGACGAGAUUUAUCAAAAAUGGAAGAAACAACCUGAAGAGGGAAUUGACUAGGAAGUUGGAGGAGAUGAUGGAUAAGGAAAACAAUGAUGAAAAUCUGGUAAAUUUUAUUGAUACAAAAAUUCAACUGAAUUUGGAAAUUGGCAAGGAUAAAGCCUUUUGGGAAUAAAAAGCGCAUGCUAAUUGGUUACCAUUGGGGGACAAGAACAUAUCUUUCUUUCAUAACUUCACUUCUCAUCGUCGAAGAAUGAAUACAAUUAAAUGCUUGGAGCAUGGAGAUGGAAUGGGAGUUAGGGAUAAAGGUGAAAUAGAGGAAAUUGCUAGGAGAUUUUUUCAAAUCUCGACAAAUGGGUUGGCGACACGGAACAUAUUCUAUCUGAGAUGGAACUAUGUAUUUCGAGUGACACAAAUUUAAUGCUAACGACUAGGUAUAUGAAAAAUAAGGUAUAUGCGACUUUGAAGGAUAUAGGCCCGACAAAGGCACCUAGGUUGAUGGUUUUUAGGCUUUAUUUUUUAAAGAUACUGACAUAUUGUUGGAGGCAGUGUAAUCUUUGUACUGUUUGGGUGUCUUGAAUGAAGGUAAGGAAAUAGAUUCUAUGAAUGUUACCAAUAUUAGGCUAAUUUCUAAAGUUUCACAUCCGACAAACCUAGUGAAUUUUAAGCCUAUUAGUUCGUGUAACGUCUUAUACAAAGUGGUACCAAAAAUCAUAGCUAAUCAUUUUCAAAAAUUACUAGAUUUUUGUAUCGAUAGUGCCUAAAAUGCUUUCAUGCUAAGUCAUUUGAUUUCGGAUAAUAUGUUGCUAACAUACGAAAUUUUGCAUACGUUUCGUUAAAAGAGAUUAGGGAAGAAGAGUUUUGUGGGGCUAAAGUUAGAUAUAAGUAAAGCAUAUGACCAGGUUGAAUAGGUUUUUUUAAAGGUGAUGAUGGAAUGAAUGAACUUCGAGAAGAAUUGGGUGGAUAUUAUUAUGAGAUGUGUUACAACGGUUUCAUACUAUAUAAAUAUUAAUGUGAGAGGUGGUGAGAUUUUUAGACCUUCUAGAGGACUUCAAAAAGGGGAUCCAUUAAGCCCUAUUCUAUUUUUAAUUUGUAGUAAAGGUCUAUCCGUUUUCAUCUAUCUGCUUUCAUGAGACUCGUUUUGCAGGAUGAAUUGAUAAAAGGGGCUAAGGCUAGUAGGAGAGGCCCUCAGAUAUCACAUUUGUUAUUUGCAGAUGAUUGUGUUCUUUUUGGAGAAGCAACUAAGAGAGGAGCACAAAUUUUAAAAAAAGUGUUGAAAGAGUACGAGAUUUGUUCAGGGCAGUACAUUAAUUUUAAAAACAUCCACAGUUUUUUAUAAUUCUAACACCUUUGAAAUAGAUAGAGAGCUGAUUUCGCAUACGGGGAGACGGAAAAAAAGCUUUAUUCUAGAUAUUAAAAGACUGUGUUAAAAAGAGGAUUGAUGGUUGGAGUACAAGGUUGCUAUCGGAUGGCAAAGAGGUCUUUAUAAAGUCUAUUUUACAAGCCAUUCCGACGUAUUCAAUGGCUUAGUUUUGUUACCAAAGACGUUGUGUGGGGAAUUAGAGAGUAUUAUGGAGAGGUUUUGGUAGCAGAAGGGGCAUGGAAGGAGGGGGAUUCAUUGGUAUAAAUGGAGUCGGCUAUAUACGUUGAAAGAGGAUGUGGGUUUGGGUUUUCGAAGUUGAGAAAAUUUAACAUAGCACUUCUAACAAAACAGGGAUAGAGACUUAUAAAUUACCUAAAUUCUUUAUUAGCUCAUGAUGUAUAAGCUAUGUCGAAACCUUUUUUGAAAUCGACUUAUAUUUAAAAAAAAUAAAGUUGUCUCAAAUCCUUUUUAUGAGGUGUAAUCGGAUCACCUCGUAAUUUGAUUGUUUUAAUAAAAUGUUUGAUUUACUAAAACAAUAAUUUUUGGUCUAUAAACUUCAGGAAAUGGGUUCAAGAGUUGGUUACGCACGAGGAAGGAUUAGCACCCUCGUGACGCCCAAAAUUGAUACCUAAUUGAUUACUUGAUGUCUUAGUGUCGAGAAUUGAAAUUUUGAAGAGAAUAAAAAAUAUGAUCCCACUUUGCAUAAUGUUAUUUUUAAUUAAACUCACUUGAAUAAAUCAAAACGUAAGUAAAAGGCCCUCUUAUCUUGAGAUAAUAAAAAGGUCAUAUCCUGUAAAUUAGGAUACAUCUCAACUCUUCGAGAAUAAGCUUCCUCUUUAUUUUAAUUACUAUUUAAAUCUCAUGUGUUUUAAUUUCAAAAGGAAUGUCCGGUUAUCUAGGUUUAAAGAGAAAGCCGAACCUCGUAAGUUAGGAUACGACUUUUCGAAUCUCUAAAUACAGAAUAUUACCUUAAUUUUAUAAUUUUCUUUUUUUAUGCAUCGUGCGAGAAACGAACGUAACACUUAAAACGAUAUGCAUGUUACCUAUUCGAGGAUAAUAUACACAUGGAUAAAUGCUUAAACUUAAUGUAUGAUAUAGUGACAGCGAAAUAAUAUAAGAUUGUCAUGUGGGUAGAAUAUUUAUAUUAGAAUCAUAAAUAUCAAAUAAAUGGAUAACUACUAUAAUAAUAAUGUAAAUAUAGCAAUAAUAAGAAUACAAAUUCAUGGCAUUAACAACAAAACAAAUAAACUUAAAAAAAAAAUGAAAGGUGCUUAAUGAAAAGAAAGUAUAAGUAAUAUCAAAUUUAAAUAUUUAAAAAGUAAAAGAAUAAUAAAUAAAUAGAUAGAUAGAUAAAACUAAUAUACGUAAUAUUAAAUUUAAGUAUUUAAGAAGUAAAAGAAUAUUAAACAAAUAAAUAAAUCGAUAAAACAAAUAUAAAUAAUAUUAAAUUUAAGUGUUUAAAAAGUAAAAGAAUAAUAAACGAAUAAAUAAAUCGAUAAAACAAAUAUAAAAGAUGAAAUUAAUUGAAUUAAAAUUUAAACGGAAUUAAAGGUAUAAAGCAUAAUAAAUUAAAUAAUAAAACCGAAUAAGGACUAAAAUUAAAUACGCGUAAAGGAGGAGGGACUAACUGGGAAAUUAUUCUCUAUCCCAAAACGCGUCAUUCCUUAAGGGACCGAAUCGAAACAAAAUUAAAAUCAUAGGGUAUAAAUUAAAAACGAAAAAUGACUGAAUUGAAAAAUAAUUAAAAAGUGAAAGGGCAGAAGGCGUAAUUAGGCCCCCUUUAAAAAACACGCAAAUCUUGAUGGGUCAAGUUGGGUUAGCUAAAAACUACGCCGUUUUGGCGUCUGAGCAAUAAGCCUAAAACGACGUCAUUUUAAUGGACUAUAAAAGUAAAAAAAAAAGUUUAAAAACUCAUUUUUGCAUCUAUUUUAAAAAAAAACCUUAAAAACCCUUUUUUUCUCUCAAUUUUCUUGAAUCCGGCCUAUGUCGAUGACUGUCUACCGCAACUGCCAUCAGUUGCCAACAACAACUUCGCUAUUCCUGGUUGUCGAUUUUUUUUUUGCCUUUUUUCAAUCUUUUAAAAAAAAACCUAUAACCCAAAUCUAAGCCAUAUAUCUUUUGAAAUUUAAAAAAAAAAAAGAGAGCGAGAAGAAAAUGCAAAGGAAAAAAAAACUUUUGGUCUCGCCGUUUUCAUUGGACCUUCACAGAACCCUAAUGAGUUUUAAGACAUUCGAGGCGUCAACGGUAAUCCUCGAUGGCAGCAGAAGGUGGAUCGACAAGUGAAAAAUCCCUUUUUAUAUGUUUUUUUUUUACUUUCCAAAAUGAAACAAAAAUAAAUUACCUUUUUGCUCAAUAUUUUGUAUUCAAUAUGUGUAUAUUUUUUUUCUUUAUGUGUAUAUUCGUUCUUCGUGCGUAAAAAAUUACAUUGGUUGUUGUGACUUUUAUAGGCAAUUUACAUACUAUAUUUUACUAUUGUUUUUUGCUAUUGUUUAGCCACUAUUCUUAACUGUUUCUUAUAGGUAGUGGUUGAUGGUGACAUGCAGUUGGUGGUGAUAAGCUAGGAGCAGCGGCAACUAGAGUUAGGGUGCACAGCACUAGCUAGGGUUUCUUUUUCUUGUUUUUUCCCUAAAUAUUGUUUAAAUUUUGGGUCAUUUGGAUUAUUAAGGUUUUCUGAUUUAGACUUGUAAUUAUAAUAGACUUGAACCGUUUUUUAUUAUUUAUUAUUUAUUAUUUUAGUUUUAUUUAUUAUUUUUUAGUAUUUAGGUUUCGAGCCUGGACUAAAUUGGCCAUUACAAGCUAAAUACUUUUCAAAUUUUGAUUUUUUAAGCGCAAAGACUAGGGAAUCUGUCAUCCUACACUUGGAAAAGCAUUUGGGCAACGAGUGGAUUGUUACAGGAGGGGAUGUGUUGGAACGUUGGUACGAAUAAGAUUUUAAUAGCUUAGGAUGCAUGGAUACCCACGGCAGUCAAUUACAAACUAAGUAGUAGUAUCAAUAAUAACAAUAUAUCUAUGAUUGCGGAGUUGAUUGAUAACAAUAGCAGAGAAUGGAAAAUAGAGGUUAUUGCCAAUACCUUCUCGGAAGCAGAUGCGACCAGGAUACAGUGAAUCCCUUUGGCGAAGGCAAGACACAAUGACAUGUUGGAGAGGAGAGGUGAGCCAUUAGGGGAAAAAACUAUUACAAAGUAGGUUUUUCAAAUCCUAAUGUUAAUUAUUUACAAACCAAUUUUAGAGAAUUUUACAAGAAAUUGUAGAACCUAAAACUCCCGACUAAAAUCAAAAUUACAAUCUGGAGGAUCUCUUCUAAUUUCAUUCCUACUCUAUCAAAUGUGUUACAAGGGAUUAGUGGCCACCCGGUGUAGAGGGGCAGAUGAGACUCUGGACCAUACAUUUCGAGAGUGCCCUAUAAUAGUGAAAGUGUGGACAAUAUUAAAUUUCACAUGGGUUUUGACAAAGGCCAGAUUUGGACAGUAUUGAGUGGCUUGCCUGGGUUGCCAAAGAAAGCUCAACGUUCCAACCAAGGCUAUUCUGUCGUGCUUUAUGGGCUCUUUGGACUGAUAGAAACAAGAGAGUGCAUGCAAGGAAUGCUGCGGGAGAGGUUCUGGUAUCAAGAUCGAUUUUGCAUGAUGAUAUGGGGUUUGUGUCUGCAGCAAAGGCCCUUGCGUUCUCAUGGGCAGUGCAAACGGGGGUGGAAAUGGCUCUCCCUAGUUUUGCUGCGCGAAAAAUGGGGGAUGAAUGGCUAAGAGAACUCGAUUGAGUUGAAGCUUGCGCAGAAAAGGUCCUUAGAGAGAAGAACGUUAAAAAUGGUGAAGUGAAGAUAAGGAAAUGCGUUCUUUGGGAACUGAAACUGACAAACUUGAAACGUGAUAUGCAUUGAUGGGAAUGGGUGUCAGUUAACAGUUUUGAUUGGGCUGAGUUUUCUUUAAUUAAUUUUGACUUGGUUGUUGGGGUGUUUAGUUUUACUCUUAAAGGCUUAGGGUCGGACUGUUUUGCCUUGGGCUGAACUUUUGUCUUUGGGUUAGUUUUAUAUAAUUAAUAAAAGCCCAGUCUGAUAUUAUUUCAAAAAAAAUUCUUAUUUUGAAAAAAAAAUUUAAAACUCUAAAUUUUCCCCUAAAUUUAUUUUUUGUUGCAUUUUUCAAAUCCG